RNAcentral lists this ribosomal RNA (775 nucleotides) under uncultured Neocallimastigales. RNAcentral describes it as "partial large subunit ribosomal RNA". It matches the Rfam family "Eukaryotic large subunit ribosomal RNA", at positions 23 to 616 of the family's 3401-position model. Lineage: Eukaryota; Fungi; Neocallimastigomycota; Neocallimastigomycetes; Neocallimastigales. The record is from RNAcentral.
AGAGAGAGACAUGCGCGCAUAUCAAUAAGCGGAGGAAAAGAAACUAACAAGGAUUCCCCUAGUAACGGCGAGUGAAGCGGGAAGAGCUCAAAUUUGAAAUCUUAAAGGGCUUCCCUUUACGAAUUGUAGUUUAAAGAAGUAUUUUCUGUUGAGGUUUUGGUAAAAGUUCUUUGGAAUAGGACAUCAUAGAGGGUGAGAAUCCCGUAUUUGACCUUUACUUUCAACUUUGUGAUACACUUUCAAAGAGUCGGAUUGUUUGGGGAAUGCAGUCCAAAAUGGGUGGUAAAUUUCAUCUAAAGCUAAAUAUUGGCGAGAGACCGAUAGCGAACAAGUACCGUGAGGGAAAGAUGAAAAGAACUUUGAAAAGAGAGUUAAACAGUACGUGAAAUUGUCAAAAGGGAAGCGUUUGACACCAGUGUUGUUUUUCUGAAAAUCAAUUAAAGAACUGUUUAUGCUAAGUUGUCUAGACUUUAUCAGCUAACUGUUUAGUUUUGAGCUUUUCUUUAAUGCACUUUUCAGUUAACAAGUCAACAUCAAUUUCUUUUGCUGUAAAAAAGCUUGAGGAAGGUGGCUUGAGAUUCGUCUUAAGUGUUUAUAGCCUCUUGCCUAUGCAGUCGGAGAGAUUGAGGUCUGCAGCGUAGAUCCUUCGGGGCUAAAUGCAUUUGUGCUAAGUUAUAGCAUUUUAUAGACAACUUGUUGACUAUGAUUUGUCUUGUAGCUUACUCGCUUAUGUUAUUUUACCUACGCUUAGGAUGUUGAGCGCAUGUCUCUCUCU